RNAcentral lists this ribosomal RNA (261 nucleotides) under uncultured archaeon. Its description in RNAcentral is "partial 16S ribosomal RNA". It matches the Rfam family "Archaeal small subunit ribosomal RNA", at positions 748 to 1009 of the family's 1478-position model. The record is from RNAcentral.
AGGGUGUAAACGCUGCGGGCUUGGUGUUGGGGGUCCUUUGAGGGCGCCCAGUGCCGGAGGGAAGUUGUUAAGCCUGCUGCUUGGGGAGUACGUCCGCAAGGAUGAAACUUAAAGGAAUUGGCGGGGGAGCACCACAACGGGUGGAGCCUGCGGUUUAAUUGGACUCAACGCCGGGAAGCUCACCGGAUAAGACAGCUGAAUGAUAGUCGGGAUGAAGACUCUACUUGACUAGCCGAGAGGAGGUGCAUGGCGUAGUCGUGU